GGGGCAAUAAGCUAGAGGCACCAACUGCAUAACUUGCGAGAAACUUGUUGGAUGAUGAUCUUGCCAAUGAUUUUGCCGCAAGUUAUGCAGUUGCUGCCUCAAGCUUACUGCCUUU
Non-coding RNA from Oryza sativa (Asian cultivated rice), 115 nucleotides. NCBI's taxonomy places the organism in Eukaryota, Viridiplantae, Streptophyta, Magnoliopsida, Poales, Poaceae. The record is from Rfam.